Molecule: ribosomal RNA, 454 nt
Filed under: uncultured bacterium
Lineage: Bacteria
Description: partial 16S ribosomal RNA
Rfam family: Bacterial small subunit ribosomal RNA
Source: RNAcentral
GAUGAACGCUGACAGAAUGCUUAACACAUGCAAGUCAACUUGAACUUCGGUUUGGGUGGCGGACGGGUGAGUAACGCGUAAAGAACUUGCCUCACAGAUAGGGACAACAUUUGGAAACGAAUGCUAAUACCUGAUAUUAUGAUUAUAUGGCAUCGUAUAAUUAUGAAAGCUAUGUGCGCUGUGAGAGAGCUUUGCGUCCCAUUAGCUAGUUGGAGAGGUAACGGCUCACCAAGGCGAUGAUGGGUAGCCGGCCUGAGAGGGUGAUCGGCCACAAGGGGACUGAGACACGGCCCUUACUCCUACGGGAGGCAGCAGUGGGGAAUAUUGGACAAUGGACCAAGAGUCUGAUCCAGCAAUUCUGUGUGCACGAUGAAGUUUUUCGGAAUGUAAAGUGCUUUCAGUUGGGAAGAAAAAAAUGACGGUACCAACAGAAGAAGUGACGGCUAAAUACGUG